Cotesia glomerata is the source of this 327-nucleotide long non-coding RNA. RefSeq lists it as uncharacterized. The record is from RefSeq and is a predicted model, not a curated record. The transcript has 2 exons. NCBI's taxonomy places the organism in Eukaryota, Metazoa, Arthropoda, Insecta, Hymenoptera, Braconidae.
UCUUAAAGAAGUUUCAGUGAUUUUGAAAGUGAUACUCGGUCAUUAUCGAUUUUUUUUGAAUUUUUUUUUUGCUUAGGGCCGAUAAGGGUAGCUUAGGGGUUGUUCCGGAGGUCGUGGGGCUUUUAUAAUUUUUUUCUAGUUGUGUGAAGGCGUCUUGAAGAAUUUUCAGUGAUUUUGAAAGUGAUACUCGGUCAUUUUCAAUUUUUCUUGAAUUUUUUUUUUUUCUAAGGCCGAUAAGGGUAGCUUAGGGGUUGUUCCGGAGGUCGUGGGGCUUUUAUAAUUUUUUUCUAGUUGUGUGAAGGCGUCUUGAAGAAUUUUCAGUGAUUU